RNAcentral lists this transfer RNA (74 nucleotides) under Bacteriophage sp. RNAcentral's name for it is "tRNA-Asn". It matches the Rfam family "tRNA". From Rfam's summary of the family: Transfer RNA (tRNA) molecules are approximately 80 nucleotides in length. Their secondary structure includes four short double-helical elements and three loops (D, anti-codon, and T loops). Further hydrogen bonds mediate the characteristic L-shaped molecular structure. tRNAs have two regions of fundamental functional importance: the anti-codon, which is responsible for specific mRNA codon recognition, and the 3' end, to which the tRNAs corresponding amino acid is attached (by aminoacyl-tRNA synthetases). tRNAs cope with the degeneracy of the genetic code in two manners: having more than one tRNA (with a specific anti-codon) for a particular amino acid; and 'wobble' base-pairing, i.e. permitting non-standard base-pairing at the 3rd anti-codon position. The record is from RNAcentral.
GGAAUAUUAGCUCAGCUGGUUAGAGCAUCUGACUGUUAAUCAGAGGGUCAUAGGUUCAAAUCCUAUAUAUUCCG